This 253-nucleotide ribosomal RNA is filed under the name uncultured bacterium. Its description in RNAcentral is "partial 16S ribosomal RNA". It matches the Rfam family "Bacterial small subunit ribosomal RNA", at positions 524 to 776 of the family's 1533-position model. The record is from RNAcentral.
UACGUAGGGACCGAGCGUUGUCCGGAUUCAUUGGGCGUAAAGAGCUCGUAGGCGGCUGUUCAAGUCGAACGUGAAAACUCGGAGCUCAACUCCGAGCCUGCGUUCGAUACUGGACGGCUAGAGUCUGGUAGGGGGAUCUGGAAUUCCUGGUGUAGCGGUGGAAUGCGCAGAUAUCAGGAGGAACACCGAUGGCGAAGGCAGCUUGCUGGGACGGUACUGACGCUGAGACGCGAAAGCGUGGGGAGCAAACAGG